UCAAUGCAUUGUGCUUUAAAAAAAAUAAUUAAACAACAACAAAAACCAACAAAAAAACAAAACAGAAAUAAGGGUCUUCUCCACAACAGGCACCAUGCUGUCAGCCUGACAGUUGGGACAGUUCACUCCACGGUCAGUUUCCAUUUGGCAGUUCUGAUGAGGUAAGUUAUUACUCCAAGCACAGCCUAACUAUUCACACCAAGAGAUGAGACCAUGUCUUAAAAUACUCUACAAAUGCAACUUUGGGGAGAAAGAGCUUAUUGUAGCUCAGUUCCACCAUUCGGGGAAGUCAAGACAAUGGGAGCGUCAGCAGCUGGUCACGUGAUGUCCACAACCAGAAAAAGAGAGCAAUCGAUGCAGACUCACUACUGCUCAACUGGCUUUCUCCGAUUUAAAGCACCUAGGAUACCAUGCCUAAGGAAUGGUGCCGCCCUCAGUGGAAGGAUCUUCCUGCCUUAACUCAGACAAUCGAGAUAAACCCCUCAGGGACAUUCUCAGAGGUCCACCUCUCAGACAUUUUAGAUUUUGUCACAUUGACAACACUAACCAUCACAGACCAAAGGAUUGUAGCUCAGAGGAUGAAGAGCGGAGGACAGGAAGAGAGCCCUGUUCACAGAGCUCUGGCAAAAUCCCCUUUGUGAGGAGCAGGUGGUGUCUCCAUGACCAUGACAAGGGCCAGAAUUUGAAAGUGUUGAUGGAUCCCUCUCACAUGAGAGUGCCCAGCACACCAUCCAGACACCUCCUGAGGCUGGAA
This 754-nucleotide long non-coding RNA is filed under the name Rattus norvegicus (Norway rat). RNAcentral describes it as "long non-coding RNA NONRATT006852". Lineage: Eukaryota; Metazoa; Chordata; Mammalia; Rodentia; Muridae. The record is from RNAcentral.